AUGGCGCAUACAAAGAGAAGCGAACUCGCGAGAGCAAGCGGACCUCAUAAAGUGCGUCGUAGUCCGGAUUGGAGUCUGCAACUCGACUCCAUGAAGUCGGAAUCGCUAGUAAUCGUGGAUCAGAAUGCCACGGUGAAUACGUUCCCGGGCCUUGUACACACCGCCCGUCACACCAUGGGAGUGGGUUGCAAAAGAAGUAGGUAGCUUAACCUUCGGGAGGGCGCUUACCACUUUGUGAUUCAUGACUGGGGUGAAGUCGUAACAAGGUAACCGUAGGGGAACCUGCGGUUGGAUCACCUCCUUACCUUAAAGA
Molecule: ribosomal RNA, 313 nt
Filed under: Klebsiella aerogenes
Lineage: Bacteria; Pseudomonadati; Pseudomonadota; Gammaproteobacteria; Enterobacterales; Enterobacteriaceae
Description: partial 16S ribosomal RNA
Rfam family: Bacterial small subunit ribosomal RNA
Source: RNAcentral